ACCUGGUCCUUCACGUGGGAGGGCAGCCCUUGGAUGCUGGACCCCAGCGAGGCACAGGUGUUCUGCAGCUGCUGGGCAAUGUCGCGGAACAUGGUAUCUACCCAAGAGAAAUGGAGACACGCGACCGUACACGGGCUGGGGCUGGUCACAGGACGUGAUCCACAGGAGGCAAAAGUGGAGACAACCCAGAAGCCCAUCAACUUGUAAACGGGUAAACAAAACCCACACAGGGGAACGUCACUGGGCCUCGAGCAGGAGCGAGGCGCCCACCCCUGCUGCCCCGCGGUCGGACCCUGAACACACGACCCUCAGGGAGGGAACCAGACACGGGAGGCCCCACAGAAUGUGAGACGGCCAGAACAGGAAGGGGGUUCGUGGGUGCUGGGGACAAAGAGCGUCUGCUAAAACGGGGACAAGAUCUCCUUUGGGGUUGGUGGGAACGUUCUAAAUGCACUGUGGCGAUGUUCGCACAGCCCUGUGAACACGCGAAAAACCACUGAAUCAUCUGCAUGGGUGAACUGUAUAGCAUGUGAAUUAUAUCUCAAUAAAGCUUUUUUUUUUUUUUUUUU
Lynx canadensis (Canada lynx) is the source of this 569-nucleotide long non-coding RNA. RefSeq lists it as uncharacterized. The record is from RefSeq and is a predicted model, not a curated record. Lineage: Eukaryota; Metazoa; Chordata; Mammalia; Carnivora; Felidae. The transcript is spliced from 2 exons.